UAGGGAAUCUUCGGCAAUGGACGGAAGUCUGACCGAGCAACGCCGCGUGAGUGAAGAAGGUUUUCGGAUCGUAAAGCUCUGUUGUAAGAGAAGAACGAGUGUGAGAGUGGAAAGUUCACACUGUGACGGUAUCUUACCAGAAAGGGACGGCUAACUACGUGCCAGCAGCCGCGGUAAUACGUAGGUCCCGAGCGUUGUCCGGAUUUAUUGGGCGUAAAGCGAGCGCAGGCGGUUAGAUAAGUCUGAAGUUAAAGGCUGUGGCUUAACCAUAGUACGCUUUGGAAACUGUUUAACUUGAGUGCAAGAGGGGAGAGUGGAAUUCCAUGUGUAGCGGUGAAAUGCGUAGAUAUAUGGAGGAACACCGGUGGCGAAAGCGGCUCUCUGGCUUGUAACUGACGCUGAGGCUCGAAAGCGUGGGGAGCAAACAGGAUUAGAUACCCUGGUAGUCCACGCCGUNNCGAUGAGUGCUAGGUGUUAGACCCUUUCCGGGGUUUAGUGCCGCAGCUAACGCAUUAAGCACUCCGCCUGGGGAGUACGACCGCAAGGUUG
This 549-nucleotide ribosomal RNA is filed under the name uncultured bacterium. RNAcentral describes it as "bacterial SSU rRNA". It matches the Rfam family "Bacterial small subunit ribosomal RNA", at positions 355 to 896 of the family's 1533-position model. The record is from RNAcentral.